Molecule: ribosomal RNA, 496 nt
Filed under: uncultured bacterium
Lineage: Bacteria
Description: partial 16S ribosomal RNA
Rfam family: Bacterial small subunit ribosomal RNA
Source: RNAcentral
GAUGAACGCUGGCGGCGUGCCUAAUACAUGCAAGUCGAGCGAACGGACGAGAAGCUUGCUUCUCUGAUGUUAGCGGCGGACGGGUGAGUAACACGUGGAUAACCUACCUAUAAGACUGGGAUAACUUCGGGAAACCGGAGCUAAUACCGGAUAAUAUUUUGAACCGCAUGGUUCAAAAGUGAAAGACGGUCUUGCUGUCACUUAUAGAUGGAUCCGCGCUGCAUUAGCUAGUUGGUAAGGUAACGGCUUACCAAGGCAACGAUGCAUAGCCGACCUGAGAGGGUGAUCGGCCACACUGGAACUGAGACACGGUCCAGACUCCUACGGGAGGCAGCAGUAGGGAAUCUUCCGCAAUGGGCGAAAGCCCGACGGAGCAACGCCGCGUGAGUGAUGAAGGUCUUCGGAUCGUAAAACUCUGUUAUUAGGGAAGAACAUAUGUGUAAGUAACUGUGCACAUCUUGACGGUACCUAAUCAGAAAGCCACGGCUAACUACGU